This 486-nucleotide ribosomal RNA is filed under the name uncultured bacterium. RNAcentral describes it as "partial 16S ribosomal RNA". It matches the Rfam family "Bacterial small subunit ribosomal RNA", at positions 28 to 523 of the family's 1533-position model. The record is from RNAcentral.
GACGAACGCUGGCGGCGUGCUUAACACAUGCAAGUCGAACGCUGAAGCACCAGCUUGCUGGUGUGGAUGAGUGGCGAACGGGUGAGUAAUACGUGAGUAACCUGCCCUUGACUCUGGGAUAAGCCCGGGAAACUGGGUCUAAUACUGGAUGCUACAUGUCACCGCAUGGUGGUGUGUGGAAAGGGUUUACUGGUCUUGGAUGGGCUCGCGGCCUAUCAGCUUGUUGGUGAGGUAAUGGCUCACCAAGGCGACGACGGGUAGCCGGCCUGAGGGGGUGACCGGCCACACUGGGACUGGGACACGGCCCAGACUCCUACGGGAGGCAGCAGUGGGGAAUAUUGCACAAUGGGCGAAAGCCUGAUGCAGCGACGCCGCGUGAGGGAUGACGGCCUUCGGGUUGUAAACCUCUUUCAGCAGGGAAGAAGCCACAAGUGACGGUACCUGCAGAAGAAGCGCCGGCUAACUACGUGCCAGCCGCCGCCGUAA